RNAcentral lists this transfer RNA (73 nucleotides) under Astyanax mexicanus (Mexican tetra). It matches the Rfam family "tRNA". Rfam says of the family: Transfer RNA (tRNA) molecules are approximately 80 nucleotides in length. Their secondary structure includes four short double-helical elements and three loops (D, anti-codon, and T loops). Lineage: Eukaryota; Metazoa; Chordata; Actinopteri; Characiformes; Acestrorhamphidae. The record is from Rfam by way of RNAcentral.
GACUGGGUGGCUCAGUGGUUUGAGCUGUGGUCCAGUAACCAGUAGGUUGUUGGUUUAAACCCAGCUCAGGUCA